GUCAGUGUAGUGUAAUGUUUGAGCAUUGGACUAGGACUCUGGAGACCAGAGUUCAAAUCCCUGCUCUGCA
Molecule: transfer RNA, 70 nt
Filed under: Phrynosoma platyrhinos (Desert horned lizard)
Lineage: Eukaryota; Metazoa; Chordata; Lepidosauria; Squamata; Phrynosomatidae
Description: tRNA-OTHER
Source: RNAcentral